RNAcentral lists this ribosomal RNA (500 nucleotides) under uncultured bacterium. Its description in RNAcentral is "partial 16S ribosomal RNA". It matches the Rfam family "Bacterial small subunit ribosomal RNA", at positions 29 to 523 of the family's 1533-position model. The record is from RNAcentral.
AUUGAACGCUGGCGGCAUGCCUUACACAUGCAAGUCGAACGGCAGCACGGGAGCAAUCCUGGUGGCGAGUGGCGAACGGGUGAGUAAAGUAUCGGAACGUGCCCAGUCGUGGGGGAUAACGUAGCGAAAGUUACGCUAAUACCGCAUACGAUCUAUGGAUGAAAGCGGGGGAUCGCAAGACCUCGCGCGAUUGGAGCGGCCGAUAUCAGAAUAGGUAGUUGGUGGGGUAAAGGCUCACCAAGCCGACGAUCUGUAGCUGGUCUGAGAGGACGACCAGCCACACUGGGGCUGAGACACGGCCCAGACUACUACGGGAGGCAGCAGUGGGGAAUUUUGGACAAUGGGCGAAAGCCUGAGCCAGCCAUGCCGCGUGCAGGAUGAAGGCCUUCGGGUUGUAAACUGCGUUUGUACGGAACGAAAAGGUUUGGCCUAAUAAGCUGAGCUCAUGACGGUACCGUAAGAAUAAGCACCGGCUAACUACGUGCCAGCCGCCGCCGUAA